GAUGAACGCUGGCGGCGUGCUUAACACAUGCAAGUCGAACGAGAAGCGAAGACGGAAACCUUCGGGCGGAAGGCUUUAUUUCGAGUGGCGGACGGGUGAGUAACGCGUGGGUAACCUGCCUCAUACAGGGGGAUAACAGUUGGAAACGACUGUUAAUACCGCAUAAGACCACAGCACCGCAUGGUGCGGGGGUAAAAACUCCGGUGGUAUGAGAUGGACCCGCGUUCGAUUAGCCAGUUGGCGGGGUAACGGCCCACCAAAGCGACGAUCGAUAGCCGAUCUGAGAGGAUGACCGGCCACAUUGGGACUGAGACACGGCCCAAACUCCUACGGGAGGCAGCAGUGGGGAAUAUUGCACAAUGGGGGAAACCCUGAUGCAGCGACGCCGCGUGAGUGAAGAAGUAUUUCGGUAUGUAAAGCUCUAUCAGCAGGGAAGAAAAUGACGGUACCUGAGUAAGAAGCCCCGGCUAACUACGUG
Molecule: ribosomal RNA, 478 nt
Filed under: uncultured bacterium
Lineage: Bacteria
Description: partial 16S ribosomal RNA
Rfam family: Bacterial small subunit ribosomal RNA
Source: RNAcentral